GAGGCUGCAGUCAAGAAUAUUCCCCAAUGGACGAAAGUCUGAGGGAGCGACGCCGCGUGAACGAUGAAGCCCUUCGGGGUGUAAAGUUCUUUUAUCAGGGACGAACCAAUGACGGUACCUGAUGAAUAAGAGGUUGCUAACUCUGUGCCAGCAGCAGCGGUAAUACAGAGACCUCGAGCGUUAUCCGGAUUUACUGGGCGUAAAGGGUCCGCAGGUGGUUUUGUAAGUCUUCGGUUAAAUUCUUGAGCUCAACUCGAGAACCGCCGAGGAAACUAUAAGACUAGAGACUGGGAGAGGCAAGCGGAAUUGCCGGUGUAGUAGUAAAAUGCGUUAAUAUCGGCAAGAACACCAAAUGCGAAGGCAGCUUGCUAGAACAGUUCUGACACUCAGGGACGAAAGCGUGGGGAGCGAUACGGAUUAGAUACCCGUGUAGUCCACGCCCUAAACGAUGGGUACUGGGCAUUGGGAGUAUCGACCCUCUCAGUGCCGUAUACUAAAGCUAACGCGUUAAGUACCCCGCCUGGGGAGUACGGCCGCAAGGCUAAAACUCAAAGGAAUUGACGGGAACCCGCACAAGCGGUGGAGCAUGUGGUUCAAUUCGACAAUAAGCGUGGAACCUUACCAGGGCUUGACAUGCUGGAAGUAUUCACCCGGAAACGGGAGAUGACCGUCAAAUCGGAUUCCAGCACAGGUGCUGCAUGGUUGUCGUCAGCUCGUGUCGUGAGAUGUUCCGUUAAGUCGGGAAACGAGCGCAACCCUCACGGCCAGUUACUAUAUCUGGCCGAACUGCCCCGCACUGAGCGCAUUUACUACGUAAAUGCUUAAGUUAAAAAUUAAAAAUGUAAAGUUCAAAGUUAAGAAGUGAAAAUUUUUAUUAAAAAUUUUCACAUUCAAGAACUUUUUACUUUUAACCUUAAACUUUUAACUUAGUACGAGCGUAGCGAAGUGCGUUGAGUGCGGGGAGGAAGGUGAGGAUGACGUCAAAUCAGCAUGGCUCUUACGUCCUGGGCGACACACGUGCUACAAUGGUCGGCUACAAUGGGUUGCCAAACCGUAAGGUGGAGCUAAUCCCAUAAAACCGAUCCCAGUUCGGAUUGAGGUCUGAAACUCGACCUCAUGAAGCCGGAAUCGCUAGUAAACGCGCAUCAGCCACGGCGCGUUGAAUACGUUCUCGGGUUUUGUACACACCGCCCGUCACGCCAAGAGAGUCGGGGGUACCUGAAGCGGCCCGCAAGGGCAACGAGGGUAAACUCGAUGAUAGGGGCGAAGUCGUAACAAGGCACCGGUAGCGGAAGCUGUCGGUGGAUCACCUCCUUUCU
This 1319-nucleotide ribosomal RNA is filed under the name Candidatus Falkowiibacteriota bacterium. RNAcentral's name for it is "bacterial SSU rRNA". It matches the Rfam family "Bacterial small subunit ribosomal RNA", at positions 345 to 1533 of the family's 1533-position model. The record is from RNAcentral. Lineage: Bacteria; Candidatus Falkowiibacteriota.